UGGCGAACGGGUGAGUAAUAUAUCGGAACGUGCCCAGUCGUGGGGGAUAACGUAGGGAAAUUUACGCUAAUACCGCAUACGAUCUAAGGAUGAAAGCGGGGGACUCUGCAAAGAGCCUCGCGCGAUUGGAGCGGCUGAUAUCAGAUUAGCUUGUUGGUGAGGUAAAAGCUCACCAAGGCGACGAUCUGUAGCUGGUUUGAGAGAACGACAGCCACACUGGGACUGAGACACGGCCCAGACUCCUACGGGAGGCAGCAGUGGGGAAUUUUGGACAAUGGGCGAAAGCCUGAUCCAGCAAUGCCGCGUGUGGGAAGAAGGCCUUCGGGUUGUAAACCACUUUUGUACGGAACGAAAAGGUCUGCCCUAAUACGGCGGGCCCAUGACGGUACCGUAAGAAUAAGCACCGGCUAACUACGUGCCAGCAGCCGCGGUAAUACGUAGGGUGCGAGCGUUAAUCGGAAUUACUGGGCGUAAAGCGUGCGCAGGCGGUGAUGCAAGACAGUUGUGAAAUCCCCGGGCUCAACCUGGGAAUUGCAUCU
This 539-nucleotide ribosomal RNA is filed under the name uncultured Polaromonas sp. RNAcentral's name for it is "bacterial SSU rRNA". It matches the Rfam family "Bacterial small subunit ribosomal RNA", at positions 96 to 628 of the family's 1533-position model. Lineage: Bacteria; Pseudomonadati; Pseudomonadota; Betaproteobacteria; Burkholderiales; Comamonadaceae. The record is from RNAcentral.